Molecule: long non-coding RNA, 328 nt
Organism: Coccinella septempunctata (seven-spotted ladybird)
Lineage: Eukaryota; Metazoa; Arthropoda; Insecta; Coleoptera; Coccinellidae
Exons: 3
Source: RefSeq, a predicted model, not a curated record
UGCAACAGGUGGAAAACCUCCGGUACGUGGGGGCUCAAUGGACUGGUAUGACCCGGCUGUACGGACGUUGAGACUCUCGGAUCCGGUAUGAGACUUGCAGGUGGCCUUGGUUUCUUGGACAGGCACGGAGGGCUAAUUCCCUACUGGUUGACAUGCGGAACUUGUUUAACUUCUUCCGGGGUGGUUCUAUCCGUUGAUUCUUGGAGACAGAUUGUCUGGAUGCAUUGGUUCUGGUUAAUUGAGCAACUACAGUUAUUCAGAUAAACAGGUCGUAGACGACAGGUGAAACAACUUUAACAACGGUAAACGGUCCGGAAAACUUCGGAGC